RNAcentral lists this small RNA (99 nucleotides) under Vibrio mytili. The record is from RNAcentral. Lineage: Bacteria; Pseudomonadati; Pseudomonadota; Gammaproteobacteria; Vibrionales; Vibrionaceae.
UGGAUAUUUUCCCCGAAAAUAAAAAAUAAAGUUUAGCGUAGGCUCCACGGAGCCAUUUUCCCCUAGGCCCAAAAAAAGGACGACUUUGGGCCGUUUUUU